Molecule: long non-coding RNA, 6037 nt
Filed under: Homo sapiens (human)
Lineage: Eukaryota; Metazoa; Chordata; Mammalia; Primates; Hominidae
Description: non-protein coding lnc-TRIM43B-1:2
Source: RNAcentral
GCCUCUUCCCCCAGCACAAGGUGCUCUCGGGGCACAUAGUCUGGCACGCGAGGGCCCCGGCGGGGCUGUUAGAGGCUCGUGGUCAUCCUGACCAUGUGGUCCAGGGCGCCCCGGUCCUCUGGGCCCCGCAUGGAGCGCGGCGUCAGCGCGGACAGCUCGCAGUCCCUGAGCCUCUGCAGGCAGUUCUUGGAGCCCUCGGGCUUUUGCGGCCUCUCGGGGAGCGGCGGCAGCUCAAGCUGGUACUUUUUCCCCAACAGCUCCCGGCAGGGGCGCUCCAGGAGCCUCUGCAUGAGGCGGACGUAUAAGUGGCCACUCCUCUGGCGACAUCCCACGGCGGGGGCCCUCGCGUGGACACCCGCCCCUGCUAGCUCAGGGCUCCGAUGCGAUCCGUUCGACCCUGCAUGGCGGCUUUCAACCCGAACGCGUCCCUCCUUCAAGAUCAAGACCCUGAACGUAGUUCAACAAGUAGUUGGUGAUGAUAGCGUGCCCUGACUGGGCCAGGAUAGCCUCUUUAGUAAAACAGCCACGAAAGUCAUGAAACAGAUGCUCAGCUCCUUUCUUCAUUUUCACUUUAAUUCGGUGAUGCCUCUGUGUCUGUCUGACGACAUCUCUCCUGGGGUCUGUGAUUCUGCUGAUGGUCUUCAGUGCCUACUGAGAAGGGUUCCUGGACAUCAUCAGGUAUGAAAACCUCAAAGCUCUCGGUCCUCAACGUGAGAACCCUGGGCCAGCGGCAUCAGCCUCACCAGGAAACCUGUUCUUCUGCUCAUUCUUGGGCCCCACCCCAGGCCUAUUCAAAGAAAGACUCCAGGGGCAGGGCCUGGCAGCCUGUGUUUCCACCAGAUCUGUGUUAAAGCUCAAAUGAACCAGCCCACGUGAUGCUGACCAGGAAGCACAAGGCUGAGAGCCAGUGUCCAAGGCAACGGUGCCCAUGGGGCCAGAGGCAGCUCCUGCCUGUGCAGCUGUAUUUAGGGCUGCGUUCCCCUCCCUGUCCUGCCAGUUGACGUCAGUGUGGGGUUACUCAGCUAAGGCCACCACGGUAUAUCCACAAAGCCGUGGUAGCAGGCGACAUUAAGGCUGGUCCAGCCAUUGUGGUCAGUCUCCUGCGCCUUCUCAACGCUCACCCCUCGCCGCACCAGCGUCCGCAGCAGCCCCAUGCCUCCUGGACGCCCUCCUCCGGGACGCUCUCCAAGCCCUCGACGCCGUGCUCCUCCUCGUCCUGGAAAGGGUACAGAGUCGUCCCAGGCUAUGCUGCAGGUGUGGGGCCCUGGAACUCUUUGUAGUCAGCGCGGUCCUCCUCGACCUGUGCGCCUAGGAGUGGGGACGGCGGUGGCGGGGUCAUGCAGCGCUCCCAGCCACCCUGCGGCCGGGUCCCAGCCAGCAGCACCAUGCCAGCGGCCGGAGGCGUGGGCUGGGGGCCGGGGCACCGUCCCGGAAAACCGGGCGCGCCCCAAGGUCCCUGCUUCUCGCUUCCGCGUCCCCAGAGAAGCCGUAGCUCCCGCCCCCAGCCCGGCAGAAACCUCCUUUCUUUACAUUAUUAAGUUUGUUUUCAUUUUAAUUUUCUUAGGACAUUGAUAAAAUCACUUUCGGAUUUUUGAGAUUAAAAAUUAAAUAAUUUUCAUCUUUACCCUUUUUAAAUUUUUCACACUUUAUUUUAAUGCUUUUAUUCUUUUGUAAAUUUUAAUUAUUGUAAUUUAUAUCUUCAAUUAUUAUGGAAGAAUUUUAGAAAAGUCUUUUCACAUAAUAAAGACUAAUUAAUGAACUAUUAUUUAUUCUCUCCUCUAUCUCAAAUACGGACUUUAAACUUUUAGAACACUUUUUGUUUUGAGACUCUUGUUACUUAUGUGACAUUUUAACUAUUCACUCUUCUAGUGAAUUUUUAAUGUCAUUCAAAGGGUACAUCUUUCUACACUGAGAAUUAAACAAAGUUCUCAAAAAUAUUCUCAGAUAAUUUAGAAUUUCACCUUCCACUGGCAUGUUAAGUAUGUUCUCCUUCCCUUCUAAUGCAUAUUUUCCUCACACGUCCUCAUGUUAUACUCCUUAUUCACCCUCCAUGCAAGAGGUGAUUUUAUUUAUUUAUUUAUUUAUUGAGACAGAGUCUCAGUCUGUCACCGAGGCUAGAGUGCAGUGGCAUGAUCUCGGUUCACUGCUAUCUUUGCCUCCUUGGUUCAAGUGAUUAUCCUGCCUCAGCCUCCAUAGUAGCUGGGAUUGCAGGUGUGCACCACCAUGCCCCGCUAAUUUUUGUAUUUUAGGUAAAGACAAAGUUUUACCAUGUUGAACAGGCCAGUCUUGAACUCUUGACCUAAAGUGAUCCACCUGCCUUGGCCUCCAAAAAUGCUGAGAUUACAAAAACAGCAACUAAACGCUGGAAUGAUGACUGGGAACUUGUCUAGAGUCUCCAGUGAUUAUCCUCCUUAUAACAAGGCAGAAAGCCUUCCUCAGAAUUAUCUGGACUGACAUCACUCAUUGUCCAGACCUGUUAACAGCAACAAGUGCUGUGAGUCUCAAAUGUGCUCCUUCAAUAAUGCAGUAGAAGGCCUGAGUUUCCACAUAAUAGUAUCCUUGAAUGCCUGGAGACUUAAGGCACAAGAAUGUAUUGAUCCUAUGAACUUUAUGUUUUGUAAAAUUUCAGAUUAUGUGAGGUGUUUGGACAAAUUAAGUUUCAGGGUGAUAUCCACUAUUGAGACAGAAAAUUAGUUUAAAGAAUUAAGACCUCAAAGUCCAGAAUGAGAAAAAAUUGUUUUUCUUAGAGCCUCCUUAUAACUGUCUUAUUUGUUUUAUAGAUGUAAGUACUAGAGGACAAGCUCUACCUGAUAUAGCUGGCCUAGACAUAUGCAGAUUUAUUAAUUGUAGAAGAAAUAAUUAUACCUUUCAGGUAAAAUGGCUAUGCAAAAUAAUUAGUUGCUGUUUUUGAGACAAGUUCUCACUCUGUCACCCAGGCUGGAGUGCAAUAGCACAAUCAGAACUCACUGCAGUCUCAAACUCCCAGCUGGUCUCAAGCAAUCCUCCCAACUCAGCCUCCUGAGUAGCUGGGACAACAGGUGCACACCACCACUCAAGGCUAAUUUUCUUUUUAUUUUUGGUAGAGAUAAGGUCUUACUAUGUUGCCCAGGCUGAUCUCAAACUCCUGGCCUCAAGUGAUUUUUCUGCCUUGGCCUCCCAAAGCACUGGGAUUAUAAGUAUGGCCACUGUUACCAGCCUUAGAUCAUUUUUUUUAAUACAGAUAGCUUCCCAACUAAAAAUAUUUUAUUAGAAUUCUCUGAAUUCAGCAAAGCAAUGUUAUUACUGACCCAGUCUUCACUUAUUUUCAGCUGACAUGGAAGAACAAAAUUACCUUUAUUUUUAAAUUUAUUUUAUUUUAUAUUUUCAAGGUGCAAAGUAUGUUGUUUUGAGACACAUAUACAUAAUGAAAUGAUUACUAUAAUGAAGAAAAUUAACAAAUCUAUCAUAUCACUUAGCUGUGCUUCUUUUUUAUGAUAAGAACACCAAAAAUCUAGUCCCUCAGAAUAUUUCCCAAAAACAAUACAUUAUCAAAUAUGCCUACAGGUUGUACAUCAGAUUCACUUAUUCUACUACGCCUUUACAACUUUUGCCCUUCAUUUACCUAUUUCCUUCCCACCAAUGUAACCACCUUUUUUAAUGUAUUGAACUUUUAAAAAUAGAUUUCAAAUAUGAGUGGAACCAUGAAGGAUUUUUCUCUGUGUGUCUGUCUUAUUUCACUUAGGAAACGUGCCAUUUACAUGCCUCCUAAAUUUAGUACAGAAAUAGAGUGCUAGUCAAGAAUGUGUCUCAGUGUUGUUAUAUUAAUUUUUUCCAAGUUAUCCUCUUUAUCAAUUUUUACUUUUUGUACUAUAGAAAAGUCAAAAUUAUUGUAUUAAAAAAUCUGUAACAAGGCUAUUGAUAAAUAACUUCUUUUAGGGAUAGAAAACUCAGGAAGUUCAAGAUUUCUGGAUUAAUGAUUGACAAUGUUCUUAGUGGUCCCUCUUUGAUUUAUUUCAAUUGUAAGUAAUUCUUGGUGAUAUUCUAACAUAAAUUCUGACAGGUGAAGAGAAUAAAUAAAUUAAGUAUCUCUAGGAGAAUCAAUAGAAUAAGAUUAUCUUGGUUAAAUAGCUAAGAAAGUAUGCUAAAUAGACACAAAAACUUUUUCAUCUUCCAAAAUCAGAGUUAAAUAGUAAAUAAUCGUAAAGUAGCUAAUUCUGUCUUUCUGCAAAAGUGAAUCUGAGCUAAAUUAGAAGAAUGUCAGGAAUAAAUUUUUCCUUGAAAACUAGGAACAAAUAAUGUAAUUAAAUUAUGAGGCACUGACUGUUGCAUACAGUUUUAUGUUGCAUAGAGUUUUAGCAUCAACAGAAAAGCUUACAAAACAUAGGUGAAAAUCAAAAAGGAGUGCUGGGUUGGAGCCCUAAGGUGAAUAAUUUUAUCAUCUCAGAUCACUUGGAAAAAGGCAGCGAGUCCAAAAGAAGCUGGUGAUAAGCUUUCUCUCUGCUAACCCCUAAUGUUCUGCAUGAAAUAUGUGGAGGCAGAAGAGAGACAGUUUAUUAUAGAGUCUACGUGGUAUAGAGCGAAGGAAUAAGAACAUUUCUGAUAAGUAUUUUCAAAAUUUGAAGAAUCAUUCCUAUAUAAAUCAUUCAUUUAAGAGACUAAAAUACAAGUAAGAUGUUUCUUGCCACAUAACCCUCAGCUUAGCCAGGCUCUAAAAAGGACAACACUGGACACCUUGACAGUGGUAAAAAGCAGGGUUUACUCACUCUUGAAUACUAAGAUCUGGUGCUAACCUUAGGCAGCAACUUGUCUAUUUGGUUGAGGUUCAGCUCAAAUCUCUUGGGUUAUUUUCAGUUGUGCCAGUCAUUUAAUUUAUUUUCUGAAUCAAAUAAUAAGAAUGGAUAUGGUUUUGAGUGUAAACAGCAUUCCCAGAUAUAUCUUACAACUUGGUGUGCCAUCUGCCUAAUUUUGAACCUAUAGGACGGGAAUAACUGCAUUGUGAAAAAUACCAGGUGAUUUCCUUAAAGCCAAAUACUCUUGUCCCUCCUACUUUUCUUUUGGCUUUCCUGCUGCAUGGGACGUGGCAAUAAAUGGCAGUUUUCUGCACACAGAGAUAAAAUUCACUUGUUGAGGAUGUCAAUCUUCUUGACAACUCCUAUAUUGGUACAAACAUGUGAGAGCAAUGCACCUUCUGAAUCAUUUCAAAUUUGUGGUCUUUGUUAGAGCAGGUAAGCCGGUGCCCUAGGAGACAUAGCUAUUAACGUUCUAUUAUAGAAUUUUCCAUUCUGUAUCAUCUGGAUUCUUAUUUAAAAUGUAGACUAAUUUUGUUCUUUCUACUGCAUAAGAAGGUUUAUACCACUUUAUGCUUAGUAAAUAAUUAAAUUUAUAUGUCAGUUUAAAUAAGGACAGUCUCCAUUGUUUUAAGUCCUUUUCCUGUUCCCCAUCAUCUUAUAUAGGAAACUUCCUCUUUCAAUGGUUUAUAUUAAAAAACCUAAGACAAUUGAAAUCAACCCUAUAAAAAUUAUGCUACAAUUAUUUUAAACCCUAACAUAAUAGUAUUAUCUUUGAUAUGAAUCUGAAAAUCAAUUUAUUUCUUAUCUUUUGAUAGAUAUUCAUUAGUAUGUUCUAUCCUAUUUUGUUACUUAUAUUUUGGAAAAGUUUCUUAACGUUAGAAUAAUAUUUAUACGUAUUAACUCCUCUACUUAUCCAUUUAUUCAUCUUAUUUAUUGUGUAAUCUAUUCUAAAAAUUUCACUGGAUAAUGGUAAUAUCUUAGCAAAGAAGACAAAUACUGCCAUUGCUUCCUUGGAAUUUUCAAUCUGGUAGUAAUAAGUAUAAGAGUUUUCUGAAUAUUAUAAUCUGAUAUAAUAUACUCAGAGAAGAUGUUAUAGCAGAGCAACCCAGCACUGAAAAACUGUUGUAUGAGCUGAAAUGUGAUUAAUAACUAAGAUGUUGAGAAAUAAUAAAGUCUGUGAGGUCAACUUAACUUGGUCAGACUUAAAAAGAAAAUAAGCACUCUUCUUUAUUCUUUAUAAGAUAAGGUAUCCACUACUUCAUUUUUCU